Molecule: ribosomal RNA, 253 nt
Filed under: uncultured bacterium
Lineage: Bacteria
Description: partial 16S ribosomal RNA
Rfam family: Bacterial small subunit ribosomal RNA
Source: RNAcentral
UACGUAGGUGGCAAGCGAUACUCGGAGUCACUAGGCGUAAAGCGCAGGUAGGCGGUUUGGUAAGUCUUUUGUGAAAGCUCCUGGCUCAACUGGGAGAGGUCAAAGGAAACUACCAGGCUAGAGUUUGGUAGGGGAUACUGGAAUUCCUGGUGUAGCGGUGAAAUGCGUAGAUAUCAGGAGGAAUACCUAUGGCGAAGGCAGGUCUCUGGGCCAUUACUGACACUGAGAAGCGAAAGCAUGGGGAGCGAACAGG